UAGGGAAUCUUCGGCAAUGGGGGCAACCCUGACCGAGCAACGCCGCGUGAGUGAAGAAGGUUUUCGGAUCGUAAAGCUCUGUUGUAAGUCAAGAACGAGUGUGAGAGUGGAAAGUUCACACUGUGACGGUAGCUUACCAGAAAGGGACGGCUAACUACGUGCCAGCAGCCGCGGUAAUACGUAGGUCCCGAGCGUUGUCCGGAUUUAUUGGGCGUAAAGCGAGCGCAGGCGGUUUGAUAAGUCUGAAGUUAAAGGCUGUGGCUCAACCAUAGUUCGCUUUGGAAACUGUCAAACUUGAGUGCAGAAGGGGAGAGUGGAAUUCCAUGUGUAGCGGUGAAAUGCGUAGAUAUAUGGAGGAACACCGGUGGCGAAAGCGGCUCUCUGGUCUGUAACUGACGCUGAGGCUCGAAAGCGUGGGGAGCGAACAGGAUUAGAUACCCUGGUAGUCCACGCCGUAAACGAUGAGUGCUAGGUGUUGGAUCCUUUCCGGGAUUUAGUGCCGCAGCUAACGCAUUAAGCACUCCGCCUGGGGAGUACGACCGCAAGGUUG
Molecule: ribosomal RNA, 550 nt
Filed under: uncultured bacterium
Lineage: Bacteria
Description: bacterial SSU rRNA
Rfam family: Bacterial small subunit ribosomal RNA
Source: RNAcentral